RNAcentral lists this ribosomal RNA (318 nucleotides) under Triticum aestivum (bread wheat). RNAcentral's name for it is "partial small subunit ribosomal RNA". The record is from RNAcentral. Lineage: Eukaryota; Viridiplantae; Streptophyta; Magnoliopsida; Poales; Poaceae.
AUGGCCGGCCCAACCCAUCUCUACCUCUCCUCCCACUUCGUCUACCCACUUCUCUUUCAGGAAUAUAUUGAUGCAUUUGCCCACGAUUAUGGAUUAAAUGAUUCUGAACCUGUGGAAAUAGUUGUUAGUUGUAAUAACAAGAAAUUUAGUUCACUACUUGUGAAUCAUUUAAUUAUUCGAAUGUAUCAGCGGAAUUUUUUGGAUAACUCAGUUAAUCAUCCUAGUGUACAGGAGACAGGGGAUCGUGGAGGGCAAUCCAACCGGCCAUGGCUGUCCAUGGUGCGUGCCGGCCAUCCCCUGGUCCCCUUGAAGCAUUAG